This 308-nucleotide ribosomal RNA is filed under the name uncultured bacterium. Its description in RNAcentral is "partial 16S ribosomal RNA". It matches the Rfam family "Bacterial small subunit ribosomal RNA", at positions 355 to 656 of the family's 1533-position model. The record is from RNAcentral.
UGGGGAAUAUUGCACAAUGGGCGCAAGCCUGAUGCAGCCAUGCCGCGUGUGUGAAGAAGGCCUUCGGGUUGUAAAGCACUUUCAGCGAGGAGGAAGGGUUCAGUGUUAGUAGCACUGUUCAUUGACGUUACUCGCAGAAGAAGCACCGGCUAACUCCGUGCCAGCAGCCGCGGUAAUACGGAGGGUGCAAGCGUUAAUCGGAAUUACUGGGCGUAAAGCGCACGCAGGCGGUUUGUUAAGUCAGAUGUGAAAUCCCCGCGCUUAACGUGGAACUGCAUUUGAAACUGGCAAGCUAGAGUCUUGUAGAG